AUUGAACGCUGGCGGCAGGCCUAACACAUGCAAGUCGAGCGGACGAAGGGAGCUUGCUCCUGGAUUCAGCGGCGGACGGGUGAGUAAUGCCUAGGAAUCUGCCUGGUAGUGGGGGAUAACGUCCGGAAACGGGCGCUAAUACCGCAUACGUCCUGAGGGAGAAAGUGGGGGAUCUUCGGACCUCACGCUAUCAGAUGAGCCUAGGUCGGAUUAGCUAGUUGGUGGGGUAAAGGCCUACCAAGGCGACGAUCCGUAACUGGUCUGAGAGGAUGAUCAGUCACACUGGAACUGAGACACGGUCCAGACUCCUACGGGAGGCAGCAGUGGGGAAUAUUGGACAAUGGGCGAAAGCCUGAUCCAGCCGUGCCGCGUGUGUGAAGAAGGUCUUCGGAUUGUAAAGCACUUUAAGUUGGGAGGAAGAGCAGUAAGUUAAUACCUUGCUGUUUUGACGUUACCAACAGAAUAAGCACCGGCUAACUUCGUG
Molecule: ribosomal RNA, 484 nt
Filed under: uncultured bacterium
Lineage: Bacteria
Description: partial 16S ribosomal RNA
Rfam family: Bacterial small subunit ribosomal RNA
Source: RNAcentral